Molecule: ribosomal RNA, 119 nt
Filed under: Aurantiacibacter luteus
Lineage: Bacteria; Pseudomonadati; Pseudomonadota; Alphaproteobacteria; Sphingomonadales; Erythrobacteraceae
Source: RNAcentral
UGCUUGGUGGUCAUAGCGCCUGUGACCCACCCGAUCCCAUCUCGAACUCGGCCGUGAAACCAGGUAGCGCCGAUGGUACUAGAGCUUAAGCCCUGGAAGAGUAGGUCGCCGCCAGGCAU